This 406-nucleotide ribosomal RNA is filed under the name uncultured bacterium. RNAcentral describes it as "partial 16S ribosomal RNA". It matches the Rfam family "Bacterial small subunit ribosomal RNA", at positions 30 to 526 of the family's 1533-position model. The record is from RNAcentral.
AUUGAACGCUGGCGGCAGGCCUAACACAUGCAAGUCGAACGAGUGGCGGACGGGUGAGUAAUGUCUGGGAAACUGCCCGAUGGAGGGGGAUAACUACUGGAAACGGUAGCUAAUACCGCAUACCAUCGGAUGUGCCCAGAUGGGAUUAGCUAGUAGGUGGGGUAACGGCUCACCUUGGAGACGAUCCCUAGCUGGUCUGAGAGGAUGACCAGCAACACUGGAACUGAGACACGGUCCCAACUCCUACGGGAGUCAGCAGUGGGGAAUAUUGCACAAUGGGCGCAAACCUGAUGCAGCCAUGCCGCGUGUAUGAAGAAGGCCUUCGGGUUGAAAAGUACUUUCAGCGGGGAGGCGUUACCCGCAGAGGAAGCACCGGCUAACUCCGUGCCAGCAGCCGCGGUAAUUC